This 540-nucleotide ribosomal RNA is filed under the name Triticum aestivum (bread wheat). Its description in RNAcentral is "partial small subunit ribosomal RNA". Lineage: Eukaryota; Viridiplantae; Streptophyta; Magnoliopsida; Poales; Poaceae. The record is from RNAcentral.
AUGGCAUCCUCAGUUGUGGUGGAUCACAGCCAGCGUGAGAUGGAGAUCAAAGCCUUCCACGAGAGCAAAGCCGGCGUCAAAGGCCUCGUCGACGCCGGUGUCACCAAGCUUCCCUCCAUGUUCAUACACCCUCCAGAGAAUCUCCUCAGCUAUUCACUCCCUGAGGCUGAAGAAGAAGACGAUCAUCUUCACAAGAUUCGCGGCCUUCAGUUCCCCGUGAUUGAUCUCACCGGGUUUGAUUCCCCGGAGAGCCGAAAGUGGGUCGUGGAGGAGAUAAGGAGCGCGGCAGAGUCAUGGGGCUUCUUUCAGCUGGUGAAUCAUGGGAUUCCUCUCCAUGUCAUGGAGGGAAUCCAGAGAGGAGUCCGAGCUUUCCAUGAGCUUCCUCAGGAGGCGACUUUGCUCGCAAGGUUAACUUCUUCAGCUUUCAUGGAGAUCUCAGCGCAGCAACUCCGGCCGACUGGAGAGAUACCUUAUCUUGCAAGGCUCUACAAGACCCCGAAAGCUUUGAAGCAAUACCACAAAUCUGCAGAGAAGAAGUGA